Molecule: ribosomal RNA, 332 nt
Filed under: uncultured Planctomycetota bacterium
Lineage: Bacteria; Pseudomonadati; Planctomycetota
Description: bacterial SSU rRNA
Rfam family: Bacterial small subunit ribosomal RNA
Source: RNAcentral
UGCGUAGGCUGCGCGGAAAGUUGGGUGUGAAAUCCCUCGGCUCAACCGAGGAACUGCGCCCAAAACUACCGUGCUCGAGGGAGACAGAGGUGAGCGGAACUUAGGGUGGAGCGGUGAAAUGCGUUGAUAUCCUAAGGAACACCCGUGGCGAAAGCGGCUCACUGGGUCUCUUCUGACGCUGAGGCACGAAAGCUAGGGUAGCGAACGGGAUUAGAUACCCCGGUAGUCCUAGCUGUAAACGAUGAGCACUGGGUUGGAGGGCCCCUCAUAGCCUUCCAGCCGCAGCGAAAGUGUUUAGUGCUCCGCCUGGGGAGUAUGGUCGCAAGGCUGAA